Molecule: long non-coding RNA, 1363 nt
Organism: Astatotilapia calliptera (eastern happy)
Lineage: Eukaryota; Metazoa; Chordata; Actinopteri; Cichliformes; Cichlidae
Source: Ensembl
UUUGUAUCUGGGGGUGGGCGUCCGGGUACACACCAGCUCACUCCUUGGCGGCCGCUUAUUGGGGCUCGCUCGGGCCACCUCGGAGGUCACUCAGGCGCAGCUGGCUGCCGGCGGAGCUCACGGGCGCGUCACUGCAACUCCCCCUGGCUUCUGCUCCGCGGCUGCUGAAUGAGCCCUCAUCUGGGACUCUCCUUAGCUCUUACUGGGACAGUGGCGCAGCUGCCCCUCUGUGGGUCUUCCUUGGUCUCUUGUGUUCUGGGGGCCUCUGGAUGUCUGGAGUUUUGAUCUCCUCCAUACCUGCUUGAUACCAUAGAGGACAGGGCUGUGGCUCCCCACACUCUAUAGCAGAUCAUUGCAUGGAGAAACCUUUGGAAUGCAAGCAUGCUGAUCCACACAGGUAUGCACACAGGUGUACACAUGGGUAUUCACAGAUGCGGACUACAGCUUUCUUGGCUGCUGCCUCAAAGCACACUGUGCGCUGUCUAUCUUGCGUGCUGCACAAUAUCGUUUAUUAUUUAGUAACUAUUGAUAUCUAUGACUAGCUAGUUUAUUGUGAUGGUGCUUUUUUUUUUUUUUCUAUUAUUAUGUUGCUCUUUGUUGUUUGCUGUCUCCCCUGUUUUUUUUUUUGUUUUUCUCUCUCUCCAUACAGGUGACCCAGGAGUUUUUUUUUUUUUUUUUCUCUCUCUCUCUCUUCCCCCCCUUCUCACCGUCUCUUCUCCCCUUUGGUUUUCUUUCUUUCUCUCCCCCUCUUUCUUUCAUUCUUUCCCCCUGUCCUAAAAAAAAAAAAAAAAAGGAUGAAAAAAAAAAAAAAAAAAGAUGCCAACUUAAGAAAUGCGAGUAUUUAGUUUUGUGUCAGGAGAGCAGGUAAUAAACUGCUCAAGUUUUGGCUUUGGCUUAAUAAAUUUAGGGGUCCUAGAGGAACCCUUUUGAGUGAGGUGGUGUUACGCCCCUCUGCAGCCCCUAAUCUCCUCAGUGUGUUCAGCUGUUGCUAAUUGGCCACACCUAGUAAGGUAUAAAUAAACGCAUACCUGUGGCAGGCUAUUCAGGAAGCUCACUAGUCGUUGCCUUUGUGGCAACAGCCAUUUGAGCCAACCUGGGAUGUCAUUUUAAGCUAAAACCUCUUCUCACUUACACUCUGAUAUUCGUCUCCUUUUUUAUGUUGCAGCCUCGAGCCGGGUCAUAACACCUCCCCUUAAGUUUUCCAAAAAAAACCAGAUAGAUGAUCCUCAAGUACUUAGGGAAAAUAUUCUGUGGAGUCAUGAGACAGUUUGUGGAUAGUUUGAAUUCUGUUAUUUGUGGUAGUGAGAUCAUAAAUGGUCAGAGGGCCCAGUGGCGCCAGUGUCCGGCAGCCUCGCCUCUGUCA